This 449-nucleotide ribosomal RNA is filed under the name uncultured bacterium. RNAcentral's name for it is "partial 16S ribosomal RNA". It matches the Rfam family "Bacterial small subunit ribosomal RNA", at positions 29 to 523 of the family's 1533-position model. The record is from RNAcentral.
AGCGAACGCUGGCGGCAGGCCUAACACAUGCAAGUCGAACGGAUCCUUCGGGAUUAGUGGCGGACGGGUGAGUAACACGUGGGAACGUGCCCUUUGGUUCGGAACAACUCAGGGAAACUUGAGCUAAUACCGGAUGUGCCCUUCGGGGGAAAGAUUUAUCGCCAUUGGAGCGGCCCGCGUCUGAUUAGCUAGUUGGUGAGGUAAAGGCUCACCAAGGCGACGAUCAGUAGCUGGUCUGAGAGGAUGAUCAGCCACAUUGGGACUGAGACACGGCCCAAACUCCUACGGGAGGCGGCAGUGGGGAAUCUUGCGCAAUGGGCGAAAGCCUGACGCAGCCAUGCCGCGUGAAUGAUGAAGGUCUUAGGAUUGUAAAAUUCUUUCACCGGGGACGAUAAUGACGGUACCCGGAGAAGAAGCCCCGGCUAACUUCGUGCCAGCAGCCGCGGUAA